RNAcentral lists this non-coding RNA (254 nucleotides) under Massilia timonae. RNAcentral also lists the same sequence under 1 other name. The record is from RNAcentral. Lineage: Bacteria; Pseudomonadati; Pseudomonadota; Betaproteobacteria; Burkholderiales; Oxalobacteraceae.
GUAUAAUCGCCCCGUUUUGGUGCUCUCGCGCACGUCCAGGUGCGCGAAGUUAAACGGGAAACACGACAUGGCCGCGCCACGCGCCGCCAUGGAGGUGUGCUGCCCCCGCAACGGUCAACAAGCGCCGCGCUUCUCAUCAAGAGCGUGGCGGACGGUCUCGACAACCACUGCGCCGCUGUACAUUCUUUUCUGCGCAGGAAGGUGAGGCCGUCAUGCUUGCCAGCCCGGAUACCGGCCAAAGCAGGUGGAAGCGC